Molecule: non-coding RNA, 1976 nt
Organism: Theobroma cacao (cacao)
Lineage: Eukaryota; Viridiplantae; Streptophyta; Magnoliopsida; Malvales; Malvaceae
Source: RefSeq, a predicted model, not a curated record
UUUCUCUUAAGAAUAAUACUGCUACUUUUAGCCAAGUUAUCUUUUGGCUCUCCAAAUUUUUUGUCUCUACCGGCCUCUCCCUCUCUCCUGCUCCCAAAAUGCACGUACCAAUCGUUUGGUUGCCGAGAAAGAUGAGAUGAAUACAAGAAAAAUGAUCAUUCCGUCGGAAAACAAUAUGUAAUUCGCACUCAUUUGGUUGUCCAAAAAAAUAAAGAACCCUCCUCUGAUUCUUCCAAAACGUUAACGAACGUGAUUUGGGCUCUCAAUCCAGUGCAUGCUUCCAUAUACUUGGAAGCUAUGAUCAAUUUGAUCCUGUGAAUCUAUCUUUUUUUUUUCUUACGUUUUUUUCAAGGGCAAAAGGGAGCGCCAGGUUUAUGUCAGGGUAUGCUUUUGUAGAAUUAUGUUUAUGAAACAAUGUUUCGUAGCUGCAGGAAGGAAGAAUUCAAAUGAAAGGAUCGUCUUCUUGAAUCUAAAACGAUAGGAUUUCAAUACCCUUUUCACUGUUUAAGAUAAGCUAUGAAGUAGAGAAUAGGAUUUCUGUCAAAUGUUGAUUGUUCCUGGAAAGAGAAUGUUUUAUCUGAUGCAUUGAUUUGAAUAUAUUUAUGGGUUUUGAUCAUCCUUUCUGAAAAUGGGAUCAAAAAAUUGAAUACAUUCUGGCAUAUUAACAUGAAUGAUUCAAGGGAAAGUGAUUUAGUUGUUGAUUUGGAAAAUGGCGACAACACGAGCUCUGAUGAAGAUGAGAUCAAGGAACAUGCUCUUGACGAAGAAAUGGAUCGGGAUGAGGUUGCAGGUCAAGAUGGAUCAACCUGGAGGGGUGAAGGAUUGAAUAUUCCAAGCAAGAGUUCGUUUAUUUCAGGUGGUGUCAAGGUGAUCGAUCAGGCAGGGCGAGGUAGUAAGGAGAAGAAAAUGUCGGGGGAGAAAAAGCAAAAGAGGGGCUCCAAGAAGCCUACUAAACCACCGCGGCCACCUGGUGCUCCAUCUUUGGUCGACGAAGCUGAUAUCAAGUUAGUUAGAGAAAUCUGUGAACUUUCCAGGUUGAGGCGUGCAAGGUAUGAACGAAUCAAGGCAUUAAGGAAUAUGAGAGCUGAUAAGGCAUCUUUAUCGAAGAGUAAUGUAUUUGCAAUGAUCGUCACGAUUCUCUUCAUCUGUGUGAUCGUCUUCCAAGGCAUCUUGGGUUCUCAUGUAUGAUGCUGAUUGGUCAGAGCUCUCCAUAUUGCAUUCCCAAGGUUUCUAUACUUCACCCACCAUCGUCACCUUUUAUACCUUUUGGCUUUGCAGUGCUCUUUCUUGUCUCUUAUUGAUGUGCAUCUAUUCCUGCUACAAUAACAAUAAUUAGGAAUUGCUCCAACAACGAAUAUUAAGAGUUUUGAUCCCCAUAAACUCUGGAGACUUGAUGAUUUAAGUUGAGUUAAAGUGAUGGGGAUGGAAUUCUAGCUUCCCAGUUUUGCACUGCAGGUAUAUCCAGUGAAACAUGGAUUUAUUUCUUGUAGGAUGAGAGCAAUUGCUUCCGAAUUUGCAAAACUAUUGAAUGUCAUGCAGACAGAGGUGUUUUCUUCAGUCUAGUUAAUUUAUUUGUUGAGGAAACUUUACUGCUACUGAUAGCAAACUACAGUAAGGUUUAGGUUGGUAAUGACAUUUUUUAAGACUUUAAGUGCAUAAAGCUUUCAAACGUGUUGGAUAGAGUUGCAAACUGCAAUUAUAUAUCCAGAAAUUUGCUCAGAAUGCUGAUUUUAGUUCUCAUUCUCAAGGCUUAAAAAGGAAAAGGGCCGUAACAAACUAACAAGGUCCUGUAGCCUGGUUAUAUUGAGGGUUGAAGAGACAAGGGUUUCAAACCUGAUUGCCCAUCAUCCAAGCAGCCAUGGAUUUUCACAAUAAUUUCUGCAGAUUCAGUAUUUUACUACUCUGUUUUUCAUUUUUUUGGUACCCUUUCUGUUUCGUUUUUGUUAAUACAUGUCAACAUACAUUUUCAGAUCUUA